RNAcentral lists this long non-coding RNA (513 nucleotides) under Struthio camelus australis. RNAcentral describes it as "lncRNA (ENSSCUG00000017863.1)". Lineage: Eukaryota; Metazoa; Chordata; Aves; Struthioniformes; Struthionidae. The record is from RNAcentral.
CAAAGAGACGUAGCAGGUUCUCCUGCCCACUCUGAGCAAGGAAGAAACAGAAGGAGGGCAAAGCUCUGAGCUACAGAUUGCUUCCUGGCCUUCUCCUGAGAAGCUUUACGAAAACCUCUGAAGUGUUCGUGAAUUUGCUGUAUCAGCCAUCUUUGCUCUUUCCUGAUGCUUUGUGCUCGGAAUUGGGUCACAUGCAAUUUUGCAACGGUACAGUAGUUUAUGUGAGAACUGUCCCUCCUCGACUUGCUUCCUCUGCAUCUUCAGUCUGAAGGCUAUAAAUAGAAAAUGCAGUAAGUGUGAGGAAGCUAUUGCAAAAUAUUUCCAACAUAGACUGCUCCUCUAAAAGUCUGGGUUCUAUCCAGAACCAGAAUCGGCGAUGUCAGCAUUUUAAAAGAGAGACCGAUCUCCAAGCAGUUCAGAAACAAGGAAUCCUGGAAAUCUUGUGAGGUAAGCCAGUCUAUGAGAAACUCAGAUAAACUGUCUAAAAUGAAGAUGUUUGGAGUACAGUCAGCU